Small nuclear RNA from Anguilla rostrata (American eel), 185 nucleotides. RefSeq annotates it as U2 spliceosomal RNA. Lineage: Eukaryota; Metazoa; Chordata; Actinopteri; Anguilliformes; Anguillidae. The record is from RefSeq and is a predicted model, not a curated record. The transcript has a single exon.
UUUUCAUAAUAAAAAAUAAAAAAAUUAAAAGAUCUGUUCUUAUCAGUUUAAUAUCUGAUACGUCCCCUAUCUAGGGACUACGUAUUAAACUGAUUUUUGGGACUGGGAGUCAGAGAAGAAACUUGCUCCGUCCGCUCCACGCAUCGACCUGGUAUUGCAGUACGUCCAGGAACGGUGUGCCUCUA